UUUCCGUAGGUGAACCUGCGGAAGGAUCAUUAUUGGAUUUUGAAACUCCAGGCUGCUGCUGGCUCUCCUCGGAGGGCAUGUGCACGCUUGUUGUCCAUUAUUUCUCCCACUGUGCACAAAUUGUAUACCUUUCAGUAGGCCUAUGUUGUUUUUCACAAUCUCUGAAUGUAAUAGAAUGGUUUUGAAUCUUGGGAAAUACAAUACAACUUUCAGCAACGGAUCUCUUGGCUCUCGUAUCGAUGAAGAACGCAGC
This 253-nucleotide unclassified non-coding RNA is filed under the name plant metagenome. Its description in RNAcentral is "partial contains small subunit ribosomal RNA, internal transcribed spacer 1, and 5.8S ribosomal RNA". The stretch from base 205 to 253 matches the Rfam family "5.8S ribosomal RNA", at positions 1 to 49 of the family's 154-position model. The record is from RNAcentral.